UACGUAGGAGGCGAGCGUUGUCCGGAGUUACUGGGCGUAAAGGGUGCGCAGGCGGCGUCACGCGUGGAUAGUUGAAAUCUCCUGGCUUACCUGGGAGGGUGGUAUCCAGACGGUGGCGCUUGAGGGUCGGAGAGGGGCGUGGAAUUCCGGGUGGAGCGGUGAAAUGCGUAGAGAUCCGGAGGAACACCGACGGCGUAGGCAGCGCCCUGGACGACACC
RNAcentral lists this ribosomal RNA (218 nucleotides) under uncultured prokaryote. RNAcentral's name for it is "partial 16S ribosomal RNA". It matches the Rfam family "Bacterial small subunit ribosomal RNA", at positions 524 to 740 of the family's 1533-position model. The record is from RNAcentral.